This 497-nucleotide ribosomal RNA is filed under the name uncultured bacterium. RNAcentral's name for it is "partial 16S ribosomal RNA". It matches the Rfam family "Bacterial small subunit ribosomal RNA", at positions 28 to 507 of the family's 1533-position model. The record is from RNAcentral.
GAUGAACGCUGGCGGCGUGCCUAAUACAUGCAAGUCGAGCGAACAGACGAGGAGCUUGCUCCUCUGACGUUAGCGGCGGACGGGUGAGUAACACGUGGAUAACCUACCUAUAAGACUGGGAUAACUUCGGGAAACCGGAGCUAAUACCGGAUAAUAUAUUGAACCGCAUGGUUCAAUAGUGAAAGACGGUUUUGCUGUCACUUAUAGAUGGAUCCGCGCCGCAUUAGCUAGUUGGUAAGGUAACGGCUUACUAAGGCAACGAUGCGUAGCCGACCUGAGAGGGUGAUCGGCCACCCUGGAACUGGGACACGGUCCAGACUCCGACGGGAGGCAGCAGUAGGGAAUCUUCCGCAAUGGGCGAAAGCCUGACGGAGCAACGCCGCGUGAGUGAUGAAGGUCUUCGGAUCGUAAAACUCUGUUAUUAGGGAAGAACAAAUGUGUAAGUAACUAUGCACGUCUUGACGGUACCUAAUCAGAAAGCCACGGCUAACUACGUG